Molecule: ribosomal RNA, 157 nt
Filed under: Leptospira sp. DOB3
Lineage: Bacteria; Pseudomonadati; Spirochaetota; Leptospiria; Leptospirales; Leptospiraceae
Description: partial 16S ribosomal RNA
Rfam family: Bacterial small subunit ribosomal RNA
Source: RNAcentral
AUGUGACGGUUCCUGAUGGCAUACUCCUACGGGAGGCAGCAGCUCAGAAUCUUGCUCAAUGGGCGAAAGCCUGAAGCAGCGACGCCGCGUGAACGAUGAAGGUCUUCGGAUUGUAAAGUUCAGUAAGCAGGGACGAAAUGGAACUGAGACACGGUCC